This 72-nucleotide transfer RNA is filed under the name Cordylochernes scorpioides. RNAcentral's name for it is "tRNA-Gly". It matches the Rfam family "tRNA". Rfam says of the family: Transfer RNA (tRNA) molecules are approximately 80 nucleotides in length. Their secondary structure includes four short double-helical elements and three loops (D, anti-codon, and T loops). Lineage: Eukaryota; Metazoa; Arthropoda; Arachnida; Pseudoscorpiones; Chernetidae. The record is from RNAcentral.
GCAUCGGUAGUUCAAUGGCGAUAAUGCUCGCCUGCCACGCGGGCGGCCCGGGUUCGAUUCCUGGCCGAUGCA